Molecule: ribosomal RNA, 254 nt
Filed under: uncultured bacterium
Lineage: Bacteria
Description: partial 16S ribosomal RNA
Rfam family: Bacterial small subunit ribosomal RNA
Source: RNAcentral
UACGUAGGGUGCAAGCGUUAAUCGGAAUUAUUGGGCGUAAAGAGCUCGUAGGCGGUCUGUCGCGUCGAUCGUGAAAACUUGGGGCUUAACCCUGAGCUUGCGGUCGAUACGGGCAUGACUGGAGUUCGGCAGGGGAGACUGGAAUUCCUGGUGUAGCGGUGAAAUGCGCAGAUAUCAGGAGGAACACCGGUGGCGAAGGCGGCAUCCUGGACCGACAUUGACGCUGAGGCGCGAAAGCCAGGGGAGCAAACGGG